GAUGAACGCUGGCGGCGUGCCUAAUACAUGCAAGUCGAGCGAACAGACGCGGCGCUUGCUCCUCUGACGUUAGCGGCGGACGGGUGAGUCACACGUGUAUAACCUACCUAUAAGACUGGGAUAAUUUCGAGAAACCGGCUCUAAUACCGGAUAACAUCUUGAACCGCAUGGUUCAACAGUGAAAGACGGCCUUGCUGUCACUUAUAGCUGGAUCUGGGCCGCAUUAGCUAGUUGGUAAGGUAACGGCCUACUAAGGCUACGAUGCGUAGCCGACCUGAGAGGGGGAUAGGCGACACGGGAACGGAGACACGGUCCAGACGCCUACGGGAGGCAGCAGUAGGGAAUCGUCCGCAAUGGGCGAAAGCCUGACGGAGUAACGCCGCGUGAGUGAAGAAGGUCUUCGGAGCGUAAAACUCUGUUAUUAGGGAAGAACAAAUGUGUAAGUAACUAUGCACGUCGUGACGGUACCGAAUCAGAAAGCCACGGCUAACUACGUG
Molecule: ribosomal RNA, 497 nt
Filed under: uncultured bacterium
Lineage: Bacteria
Description: partial 16S ribosomal RNA
Rfam family: Bacterial small subunit ribosomal RNA
Source: RNAcentral